CCUACGGGUGGCAGCAGUGGGGGAUAUUGCACAAUGGGGGCAACCCUGAUGCAGCGACGCCGCGUGCGCGAUGGAGUACUUCGGUAUGUAAAGCUCUGUCAGCAGGGAAGAGAAUGACGGUACCUGACCAAGAAGCCCCGGCUAAAUACGUGCCAGCAGCCGCGGUAAUACGUAUGGGGCAAGCGUUAUCCGGAUUUACUGGGUGUAAAGGGAGUGUCGGCGGCAGGGCAAGCCUGAUGUGAACGCCCGGGGCUCAACCCCGGGACUGCAUUGGGAACUGCCCCGCUCGAGUGCCGGAGGGGCAGGCGGAAUGCCGAGGGUAGCGGUGAAAUGCGUAGAUAUUAGGAGGAACGCCAGUGGCGAAGGCGGCCUGCUGGACGGUGUACUGACGCUGAGGCUCGAAAGCGUGGGGAGCAAACAGGAUUAGAUACCCUAGUAGUC
RNAcentral lists this ribosomal RNA (441 nucleotides) under uncultured bacterium. Its description in RNAcentral is "partial 16S ribosomal RNA". It matches the Rfam family "Bacterial small subunit ribosomal RNA", at positions 338 to 795 of the family's 1533-position model. The record is from RNAcentral.